UACCAACUGAAGAAUCCCGAACAGGACGAAACGCGUGUCCUGGUU
RNAcentral lists this non-coding RNA (45 nucleotides) under Schistosoma margrebowiei. The record is from RNAcentral. Lineage: Eukaryota; Metazoa; Platyhelminthes; Trematoda; Strigeidida; Schistosomatidae.